Molecule: ribosomal RNA, 253 nt
Filed under: uncultured bacterium
Lineage: Bacteria
Description: partial 16S ribosomal RNA
Rfam family: Bacterial small subunit ribosomal RNA
Source: RNAcentral
UACGUAGGGCGCAAGCGUUGUCCGGAAUCAUUGGGCGUAAAGAGCUCGUAGGCGGCCUGUUGCGUCCGCUGUGAAAUCCCGGGGCUUAACCUCGAGACGUCGGCGGAAACCAUCUGGCUAGAGUCCGGAAGAGGAGAGUGGAAUUCCUGGUGUAGCGGUGAAAUGCGCAGAUAUCAGGAAGAACACCCGUGGCGAAGGCGGCUCUCUGGGCAACAACUGACGCUGAGGAGCGAAAGCGUGGGGAGCGAACAGG